This is a long non-coding RNA of Branchiostoma floridae (Florida lancelet), 1498 nucleotides long. RefSeq lists it as uncharacterized. The transcript is spliced from 3 exons. The record is from RefSeq and is a predicted model, not a curated record. Lineage: Eukaryota; Metazoa; Chordata; Leptocardii; Amphioxiformes; Branchiostomatidae.
GAAUGCAAGCUCACCUGUGGCAAGCCUGGUGUCGGGUCUGGCACUCUGGACAGGAAAACGUGUUCUUGUAUGUGUGAGCUGGGGACAGGUCCGAACUGUGACGAGGAGUGUGCGAACCCGAUUUGGCACGAAGACGGUUUUGAUGAGUGUGCGUACUGGGAGGGGGUACCCGGAGACUGCGAUAUUCACAGAGAGUGGCACGUGCGCUACUGCCCUGCUAACUGUCACUUCGGCUGCCGGACGAAGUGAGUCUGUAACGCCAAGUGUGUGCAGUUGCUGUCGAGAAGGAAUGUCAUCUAAAGCAGCAAUAUCAUCAUCUGCAUCUUUUACAUGUACAUCCUUUUGCCAUGCAUUAAGAAAUGUUGAGAAUUGUUGGAACAUAUUUAAGCUUCGCAUAUGUAUACAUUUACGUCCUUUUACCAUGCAUGUAGAAAUGUUGAGAAUUGUUGGAACAUAAUCUUCGCCUAUGUAGAAUCCGCAAAGGUUUUUUUUUAUUCGAAACUGAACACAAGAAAUGCGAGGUCUUAUCUGUUAGAUUUCUUCACUCAUUGUUUCUUCUUUCGUAUCAAUAUCUACUGAAUAUUUGCUGUAUUAGUCUGUCGGGAUUUUGUCAGUAUGGUGACAUAAAAUGUAAAUGUGACUUGGAAGGAACACCUGUUUUGUCAAUACAUACCUUUCACUGUAACGGAAAAACAUGAUAAUCGUUGAUAAAUUAUACAACAUGCAAAUCUUUGUCAACUGUUACAUUGAUAAGGAAGGCAAAUGAAUUUUAUUCAUUCAUUCAGCAGUAUGUAAUUCAAAAUAUUGACAUGUUGCAAAUAACCUAUGAAUUUUCUACAAAAUCAGAAUGAAUGUACAAGAAAAAUAUUACUAUGUAAACUAGUUUUUGCUUGAAACAAUAAAUAUUGGUGACAUUUCUGACCAUACACAAUUGUAGUCUGAUUUUAAUUAACUUAUUGGUAAUGAGCACCUUAAGACCAAAUCUUUCACCAUUUAAAAAAUUAUGAAUAAAUUAAUCGGACAUUAACAUAAUCUUUAAUAACAUCUGCAUUGACAUUGCACAUAAAACAAGGCAGGCCUUAUGCAUAAAUACAUUGUAUUUUUAUCAAUUAUGUAUCAGCUAUGCAUAGCGUUAUGGACUGCAAAAUUAUGUACUAGUAUGCAACCAAAAAUCAUCAAUACACUAAGUUUGGAACUUUCCACAUUUAACUUUUUUUCUUCUUGUACAUAAACAAUAGUCGAUCUUCAAUGAGGAGGCAUAAAACAUUCUUGUUUAGGAGACACCACUAGUUAGCUAACUAAUAGUUUCUGCUAGGUAUAGAUGACCAUGUAUAUAAUAGGUAUACUUUUAGGGGGGUUCACAUCUGUGAGUAUAUCAAGUCUGUUUGAGUUCCAUAUUGAGAUUUUUUGGCUAUAUAUGGUAAAGUUUGCAUCCAAAGAAGUCAUUUUUAGUUCAAUUACCAGGCUGCACAAUGAUGAGUCAAAGUAAAAAAAAAAA